UUUUCGCAAUGCCCGAAAGGGUGACGAAGCGACGCCGCGUGGGUGAGGAAGGCCUUCGGGUUGUAAAACCCUGUCAGGAGUUAUGAAAUGUAAGUACGCUAAUAUCGUGCUUAUUUGACAAAGGCUCCAAAGGAAGCCACGGCUAACUCUGUGCCAGCAGCCGCGGUAAUACAGAGGUGGCGAGCGUUGUUCGGAAUUAUUGGGCGUAAAGAGCACGUAGGUGGGUUUGCAAGUCAGAUGUGAAAGCCUUCUGUUCAACGGAAGAAUUGCAUCUGAAACUGCUAAUCUUGAGUAUAGGAGGGGAGAAUGGAACUUCUGGUGGGGCGGUGAAAUGCGUAGAUAUCAGAAGGAACGCCGGCGGCGAAAGCGAUUCUCUGGCCUAUUACUGACACUCAGUGUGCGAAAGCUAGGGGAGCAAACGGGAUUAGAUACCCCGGUAGUCCUAGCCGUAAACGAUGGGCACUAAGUAGAGGGGUU
This 477-nucleotide ribosomal RNA is filed under the name uncultured anaerobic ammonium-oxidizing bacterium. Its description in RNAcentral is "bacterial SSU rRNA". It matches the Rfam family "Bacterial small subunit ribosomal RNA", at positions 363 to 830 of the family's 1533-position model. The record is from RNAcentral.